AGGAAGUUUGGUUAUAACUAGGCAUAUUAGUAAACGAACAAAACAAAAUAUUUUCAAUAAAGAAAUAAGACUAUAUAAUUGAGACAAGAAAAUAAUGAAAGCCAGCUUAUAUAAAUGAGAUGGAGGGAAUACAUGUUAAGAAAAGGCAUAUCAAAGGGUAAAUUAAUGUCCGAAAUAAACAUGAUUAUCAAACGUUGCAAGAUUAAUGCAGGGAAAAUCAUAUACACUUUCAUCGCUCACAACCACCAUGCCCACCGCUUAUCCUUCACUAACUGGCCCCCGCCAGCCACGGAGGAGGAUGAUAUGUUUACAUUGACUGCAGUCGAGAGGACGUUGGAGAUGCUUAACAGUACGGCAACGUCACCUGAUUGCCUGGGUUCGGAAAGAGGCAUACGGUUAGGCAGCUGAGGUAAAUAGACUCUCCAUUUCCAUUGCAAGAUGUCGAUGAGGACAAUCAUGUAGAUGAGGCUACCGAGAAGUUCAUAAUGAAAUUCUACAAUGAUUUGAGGUGGUAAAAUUAAAUGCAUCGCCUUGUUUGGGGUCGUCUUAAUUAUUCUAUGUGUAAUUUUCAUAUAUAGAUCGUGUCACAUAUGUCAAGCAUUCGAGCACUUGAGGCAUGUAAUAAAAUUAUAAAGUGAAU
RNAcentral lists this long non-coding RNA (640 nucleotides) under Olea europaea subsp. europaea. Lineage: Eukaryota; Viridiplantae; Streptophyta; Magnoliopsida; Lamiales; Oleaceae. The record is from RNAcentral.